RNAcentral lists this microRNA precursor (87 nucleotides) under Alligator mississippiensis (American alligator). RNAcentral's name for it is "microRNA ami-mir-10b precursor". Its record names the gene ami-mir-10b. The stretch from base 7 to 81 matches the Rfam family "mir-10 microRNA precursor family". Rfam says of the family: In this case the mature sequence comes from the 5' arm of the precursor. The extents of the hairpin precursors are not generally known and are estimated based on hairpin prediction. Lineage: Eukaryota; Metazoa; Chordata; Crocodylia; Alligatoridae. The record is from miRBase by way of RNAcentral.
CGUUGUCUAUAUAUACCCUGUAGAACCGAAUUUGUGUGGUAUUCACAUAGUCACAGAUUCGAUUCUAGGGGAAUAUAUGGUCGAUGC